CCUACGGGAGGCAGCAGUGGGGAAUUUUGGACAAUGGGCGCAAGCCUGAUCCAGCAAUGCCGCGUGAGUGAAGAAGGCCUUCGGGUUGUAAAGCUCUUUUGUCAGGGAAGAAACGGUUGGGGCUAAUAUCCUCGGCUAAUGACGGUACCUGAAGAAUAAGCACCGGCUAACUACGUGCCAGCAGCCGCGGUAAUACGUAGGGUGCAAGCGUUAAUCGGAAUUACUGGGCGUAAAGCGUGCGCAGGCGGUUUUGUAAGUCUGUCGUGAAAGCCCCGGGCUUAACCUGGGAAUUGCGAUGGAGACUGCAAGGCUUGAAUCUGGCAGAGGGGGGUAGAAUUCCACGUGUAGCAGUGAAAUGCGUAGAGAUGUGGAGGAACACCGAUGGCGAAGGCAGCCCCCUGGGUCAAGAUUGACGCUCAUGCACGAAAGCGUGGGGAGCAAACAGGAUUAGAUACCCUGGUAGUCCACGCCCUAAACGAUGCCUACUAGUUGUCGGGUCUUAAUUGACUUGGUAACGCAGCUAACGCGUGAAGUAGACCGCCUGGGGAUACGGUCGCAAGAUUAAAACUUAAUGAAAUUGACGG
RNAcentral lists this ribosomal RNA (584 nucleotides) under uncultured bacterium. RNAcentral describes it as "bacterial SSU rRNA". It matches the Rfam family "Bacterial small subunit ribosomal RNA", at positions 338 to 916 of the family's 1533-position model. The record is from RNAcentral.